This 565-nucleotide ribosomal RNA is filed under the name Salmonella enterica. RNAcentral describes it as "partial 23S ribosomal RNA". It matches the Rfam family "Bacterial large subunit ribosomal RNA", at positions 1180 to 1746 of the family's 2925-position model. The record is from RNAcentral. Lineage: Bacteria; Pseudomonadati; Pseudomonadota; Gammaproteobacteria; Enterobacterales; Enterobacteriaceae.
GUCAAAGCGUUUUACAACGUCGAGUUGGCUUAGGGAUACGUUCGUUGGGUAGGGGAGCGUUCUGUAAGCCGUUGAAGGUGUGUCGUGAGGCAUGCUGGAGGUAUCAGAAGUGCGAAUGCUGACAUAAGUAACGAUAAAGCGGGUGAAAAGCCCGCUCGCCGGAAGACCAAGGGUUCCUGUCCAACGUUAAUCGGGGCAGGGUGAGUCGACCCCUAAGGCGAGGCCGAAAGGCGUAGUCGAUGGGAAACGGGUUAAUAUUCCCGUACUUGGUGUUACUGCGAAGGGGGGACGGAGAAGGCUAUGUUGGCCGGGCGACGGUUGUCCCGGUUUAAGCGUGUAGGCUGACUUUCCAGGCAAAUCCGGAGAGUCAAGGCUGAGGCGUGACGACGAGGCACCACGGUGCUGAAGCAACAAAUGCCCUGCUUCCAGGAAAAGCCUCUAAGCCUCAGGUAACAUCAAAUCGUACCCCAAACCGACACAGGUGGUCAGGUAGAGAAUACCAAGGCGCUUGAGAGAACUCGGGUGAAGGAACUAGGCAAAAUGGUGCCGUAACUUCGGGAGAAGG